UUAUUAAUAACCCCAAAAACACUCAAUAUUAAUUAAACAAACCAUUUUUCCCCCCAAGUAUGGGCGACAGAAAAGGAACAUUCAGAGCAAUAGAAAAAGUACCGCAAGGGAAUGCUGAAAAAGAAGUGAAACAACUCAGUAAAGUUUAAAAAAGCAAAGAUUCACCCUUGUACCUUUUGCAUCAUGAUUUAGUCAGUAAAAACAAGCAAAAGGCACUUUAGUUUGAUUUCCCGAAACUAAGUGAGCUACUCCAAGACAGCCUAAAAUAGGGCUAACCCGUCUCUGUGGCAAAAGAGUGGGAUGAGCUUAGAGUAGAGGUGAUAAACCUACCGAACUUAGUUAUAGCUGGUUGCCUGAGAAAUGAAUACAAGUUCAGCUUUUUGGUUUCUCCCUCCAACCUGCUUAACUAUAAACGAACCAAAGAAUCCAAAAAAGUUAAUUAAAGGGGGUACAGCUCCUUUAAACAAGAUACAACUUCACCAGCCGGGUAAAGAUCAUAUACAAUCAAGGUAAAAUGUUUUAGUGGGCCUAAAAGCAGCCACCUAUAAGAAAGCGUCAAAGCUCCUUCAUAUCACCCCCCCCCC
RNAcentral lists this ribosomal RNA (584 nucleotides) under Betta raja. Its description in RNAcentral is "partial 16S ribosomal RNA". The stretch from base 150 to 584 matches the Rfam family "Bacterial large subunit ribosomal RNA", at positions 566 to 1165 of the family's 2925-position model. Lineage: Eukaryota; Metazoa; Chordata; Actinopteri; Anabantiformes; Osphronemidae. The record is from RNAcentral.